Diceros bicornis minor is the source of this 647-nucleotide long non-coding RNA. RefSeq lists it as uncharacterized. NCBI's taxonomy places the organism in Eukaryota, Metazoa, Chordata, Mammalia, Perissodactyla, Rhinocerotidae. The transcript has 4 exons. The record is from RefSeq and is a predicted model, not a curated record.
AACUCCAAUGGCAUCUGUGUCAGCACGCCCACACCAGGCCACAACAAUGGCUGCCACCAAUGUCCCAGUCCCUGGAGAGGUCUCACCUCUCACUGAGAUGCACUCAGGGCCUAUCAGGCCCAUGCUUUCUUCUGGAUUCACCAGCAGUGAAAAAAAGAUAUUCUGAUUCCCCAGCUCAGAGGCUUCCCUCUGUGCCACUGGAGCCGAUUGCUGACUACUAUUGAAUUUAAGCAAAUUUUCAUAUGUUUGCUUAAAUUUGCAGUGUGAAGAAGUACUUGCUUCCGAAUCUUGAUUUGAGAAGCAUGAGCAGAUUUGCUAACCCCACCAGGUGAGGCCUUUUGGGCAGACAUCAGUGUCAAUAGCCAUGUGCUGCUCUUGCCCUGGGUGUUUGGAGGUGUUUGCACUAUUCAACCACAUGUUUUUAGCGACCUUGCUGCAGAGAUUGUCAACUUUCCUGUUUAUUAGGUAUAGACAAGAUGAUCCCUCUGAAACUCUGGGGUUGGGAGGUGUCAGUUCCACACUGUGAUUGUUGUAAUUUCAAUCCGGGAGAAACCAGAAAAUGAGACUCAAAGGUGAGUCACAGGCGACGGCCGGAGGAGGUGGGCAGAAUUUUCCUGGAGUGUUGGUGCAGGGCCUUCUGUCUGACU